UACAGAGGGUGCAAGCGUUGUUCGGAAUUACUGGGCGCAAAGCGCGCGUAGGCGGCUUUGUAAGUUAGAGGUGAAAGCCCGGGGCUCAACCCCGGAACUGCCUUUAAGACUGCAUCGCUUGAAUCCGGGAGAGGUGAGUGGAAUUCCGAGUGUAGAGGUGAAAUUCGUAGAUAUUCGGAAGAACACCAGUGGCGAAGGCGGCUCACUGGACCGGUAUUGACGCUGAGGUGCGAAAGCGUGGGGAGCAAACAGG
This 253-nucleotide ribosomal RNA is filed under the name uncultured bacterium. RNAcentral describes it as "partial 16S ribosomal RNA". It matches the Rfam family "Bacterial small subunit ribosomal RNA", at positions 524 to 776 of the family's 1533-position model. The record is from RNAcentral.